AUUAGAAAGGGUCAAAUUCUCUUUGAAUGCAUUUUGAAUUCUUGAGAAUUCAUACUUACUAGUGUAUAAUCUUGUGAGUAAUCUGAACCGUCCAGUUCAUGUGAAGUUUAUGCGCCAUCUAGUGUUCAGUUGACCUUACUCUGUCCAUCUGUACUGAACAAGUAGUAUUGAUAACAUCUGACAGCCCGGUCAGGAGAUAACCAAUAAUUUGCAGUAG
Non-coding RNA from Pelobates cultripes (western spadefoot toad), 217 nucleotides. Lineage: Eukaryota; Metazoa; Chordata; Amphibia; Anura; Pelobatidae. The record is from the annotation of a GenBank genome assembly.